This 628-nucleotide ribosomal RNA is filed under the name Trichoderma reesei. RNAcentral's name for it is "eukaryotic LSU rRNA". The stretch from base 276 to 429 matches the Rfam family "5.8S ribosomal RNA". The record is from RNAcentral. Lineage: Eukaryota; Fungi; Ascomycota; Sordariomycetes; Hypocreales; Hypocreaceae.
GGAAGUAAAAGUCGUAACAAGGUCUCCGUUGGUGAACCAGCGGAGGGAUCAUUACCGAGUUUACAACUCCCAAACCCCAAUGUGAACGUUACCAAUCUGUUGCCUCGGCGGGAUUCUCUGCCCCGGGCGCGUCGCAGCCCCGGAUCCCAUGGCGCCCGCCGGAGGACCAACUCAAACUCUUUUUUCUCUCCGUCGCGGCUUCCGUCGCGGCUCUGUUUUACCUUUGCUCUGAGCCUUUCUCGGCGACCCUAGCGGGCGUCUCGAAAAUGAAUCAAAACUUUCAACAACGGAUCUCUUGGUUCUGGCAUCGAUGAAGAACGCAGCGAAAUGCGAUAAGUAAUGUGAAUUGCAGAAUUCAGUGAAUCAUCGAAUCUUUGAACGCACAUUGCGCCCGCCAGUAUUCUGGCGGGCAUGCCUGUCCGAGCGUCAUUUCAACCCUCGAACCCCUCCGGGGGGUCGGCGUUGGGGAUCGGCCCCUCACCGGGCCGCCCCCGAAAUACAGUGGCGGUCUCGCCGCAGCCUCUCCUGCGCAGUAGUUUGCACACUCGCACCGGGAGCGCGGCGCGGCCACAGCCGUAAAACACCCCAAACUCUGAAAUGUUGACCUCGGAUCAGGUAGGAAUCCAGU